This is a long non-coding RNA of Triticum dicoccoides, 480 nucleotides long. RefSeq lists it as uncharacterized. The record is from RefSeq and is a predicted model, not a curated record. NCBI's taxonomy places the organism in Eukaryota, Viridiplantae, Streptophyta, Magnoliopsida, Poales, Poaceae. The transcript has 3 exons.
GUGCUGACCAAUAGACUAAAGAAUAAAAGAAGAGGGAAAGCCAGCUUUGCAGCACUCAAACUCGACAUGAGCAAGGCGUACGAUCGAAUUGAAUGGACUUUCUUGAGGGACAUGAUGAUAAAGAUGGGGUUUAACUCUUCCUGGGUCAAGCUCAUUAUGAACUGCGUCACCACGGUUCGUUAUCAAAUAAAGAAAGCGGAGGAACGUGGAAAAAUAAUAGGCAUCAAAGUAUGCAAAAGAGCUCCAAGCAUUAAUCAUCUCCUCUUUGCAGAUGAUUCUUUACUGCUCUUCAAAGCUGAAAAUAGGACUGCAAUAGAGAUAAAUCAUAUCCUGGAGACAUAUGCUGGUUGCUCAGGUCAAGUAAUCAAUAAGGAGAAAUCUGCCAUAAUGUUUAGCAAGAAUACCCAGCAUCAGCAGAAGAAUAUGAUCAUGUCAGCAUUGCAUAUUACAAGGGAGGCAAGAACAGAGAAGUAUUUAGGG